AGAGUUUGAUCCUGGCUCAGAACGUACGCUGGCGGCACGCCUAACACAUGCAAGUCGAACGAAGUAGCAAUACUUAGUGGCAGACGGGUGAGUAACAUGUAGGUAUCUACCCUUUGGCCUGGAAUAACACGAGGAAACUUGUGCUAAUACCGGAUAAGUCUUUACGGAGAAAGCUUUAUGCACCAUUGGAUGAGCCUGCACUUGAUUAGUUUGUUGGUAGGGUAAUGGCCUACCAAGACUUUGAUCAAUAGCUGAUUUGAGAGGAUGAUCAGCCACAUUGGGACUGAGACACGGCCCAAACUCCUACGGGAGGCAGCAGUGGGGAAUCUUGCACAAUGGAGGAAACUCUGAUGCAGCGAUGCCGCGUGAGUGAAGAAGGCCCUUGGGUUGUAAAGCUCUUUCGUCGGGGAAGAAAAUGACUGUACCCGAAUAAGAAGGUCCGGCUAACUUCGUGCCAGCAGCCGCGGUAAU
Molecule: ribosomal RNA, 471 nt
Filed under: uncultured bacterium
Lineage: Bacteria
Description: bacterial SSU rRNA
Rfam family: Bacterial small subunit ribosomal RNA
Source: RNAcentral